GGAUGAACGCUGGCGGCGUGCCUAAUACAUGCAAGUCGAGCGAACGGACGAGAAGCUUGCUUCUCUGAUGUUAGCGGCGGACGGGUGAGUAACACGUGGAUAACCUACCUAUAAGACUGGGAUAACUUCGGGAAACCGGAGCUAAUACCGGAUAAUAUUUUGAACCGCAUGGUUCAAAAGUGAAAGACGGUCUUGCUGUCACUUAUAGAUGGAUCCGCGCUGCAUUAGCUAGUUGGUAAGGUAACGGCUUACCAAGGCAACGAUGCAUAGCCGACCUGAGAGGGUGAUCGGCCACACUGGAACUGAGACACGGUCCAGACUCCUACGGGAGGCAGCAGUAGGGAAUCUUCCGCAAUGGGCGAAAGCCUGACGGAGCAACGCCGCGUGAGUGAUGAAGGUCUUCGGAUCGUAUAACUCUGUUAUUAGGGAAGAACAUAUGUGUAAGUAACUGUGCACAUCUUGACGGUACCUAAUCAGAAAGCCACGGCUAACUACGUG
RNAcentral lists this ribosomal RNA (498 nucleotides) under uncultured bacterium. RNAcentral's name for it is "partial 16S ribosomal RNA". It matches the Rfam family "Bacterial small subunit ribosomal RNA", at positions 27 to 507 of the family's 1533-position model. The record is from RNAcentral.